UCAGGAUAACUGUUGGAUUGGGCAUGUGGACGCGCAGAAGGUUGUUCUCUAAAUUGGAAGGCGGGUACGGGAAAUCGAAGACGAGAGUUUAGCAAAUGACAUAUCAGUAUGAUCACUAUAACAGCUAGGGUAUAACCGUAGGUAUACGAAGUCAGCGUCCAUCCGUUUCCUCCUCCAUCAAUCUUUUCUCUCCAAAAUUUUGAUACUAACUAGGGUAUAACCGUAGGUAUACGAUGUCAGCGUCCAUCCGUUUCCUCCUCCAUCAAUCUUUUCUCUCCAAAAUUUUGAUACUACUGGUGAGAACCAAAUCGUAAUCGCAGCGCACAUUCUCCAAAUGGAACUGGACAACCUUGUUAUUCCCGU
This 363-nucleotide long non-coding RNA is filed under the name Nicotiana benthamiana. RNAcentral describes it as "long non-coding RNA (NBEN_LNC018894)". Lineage: Eukaryota; Viridiplantae; Streptophyta; Magnoliopsida; Solanales; Solanaceae. The record is from RNAcentral.